CCUGACCUCAAAUGAUCUGCCCGCUUUGGCCUCCCAAAGUGCUGGGAUUACAGGUGUGAGCCACCGCACCUGGCCGGAUCUCCAUCUUUUGAAGAACAUGACUUUCUCCUCUAGGCAGGUGGGAGGCUGAGGGACACCCCAGUGUUAAGCCAAAAAUAGCCAAGGCAGUAUUCAUGCCUUCUCUUUCCAGAGGCCCCUUGUGUUCCAGGGCUGGGGAACCUCUAGCUCGAGGCCGCGGCAAUCCCCUCUGCCAUUCAGGCCCGGCCCCUCUACACUGGGCCCUGAGCACGUACCUGGCUCCCCCAGUGUACCACGGGCUUUGCUGUCACCGGAUGGAUUGAGCAACUCAACCGAGUGUGCAUUUUCCAGUUCAUGCUAACCACCAUUCAGUCACUUCCCCUCACGUUCAUGGACCGGUUGGUUCCUUGUCAUUUCUCAGGGGACACCAUGACCCUUCUUGUGAACUCUCCAUGAUGCAGGCAGGAACCUGAGUCACCCAGAGAUAGCAGCCCUAUUCCCCCUUGUCCCCUAAGCCCCUGGCCUGGCUCUCAGAUGGAAACAAAUAACAAUAAUGACUUCAGCCACCGAUUCCCACAGCGUCCUGAGAGCUUUCCAGGUACCGGUACUGACUUUCAGGGCCAAGCACAGCCCACGGAGCACCUUCCUGGAACACAGGUGCGCACUCACACCUACACGCCCUCUCCCGCUCAGCCUGAAUGGGAAAAGGAGCAGGCCUGGGGCCUGCCUCUGUUUGGGAAGGAUGAACCAAGAACUCCAGUGGAAACCUGGCGCUGAGCUAGGCUGUGGAGAAAACAGAAGCAGGUGACGGGACGCGACAGGUUGAGAAGCUGCUCGGAGGAGGAGGCAGCUGAGCUGUGAACUGGAGCAGGUGGAGGGGCCUCCCCGGGAAGAUCUGGGUGUGGGAAGCACCUGCCAGGCAGGGGGCACCUCAAAUGCAAAGGCCCUGAUGUGGGGACAGGUGAGACAAGACCAGGACAAGCCCCACUCGUGCUGUUGUCUGGAAACCAAGGCCCGAAGAGGAGGGGACGGAGCCAAGGCCAUGCGGCUGGCAGAGGUGGAGCUGGGAUGUUAGGGGAGGCUUCAUACCCCACCCCUCACGCCCAGCUGGAACCUUCCAGAAGGGUGGCCUCCUCUUCCUGAGCUGCCCCAGCUGUUGCGGGGGCUGCUGCUGUCCUGGUUCCCUUGUUUAAUUACAAACAUUUUUUGCCCUUACUUAAUUAUGCAACCGCCGUCCGUGGAUCUGCCACCAUCUGGCCCCACUUUCUGGCUUGAGAGGAUGAGUCCCAGUGACUUCGAGGGCUGAGAGGGGAGCAUGGGGGAGGCACCCCAGCCAGGAGGGCACCGAGCUUGGCAUGGCCUCAGCUCUGUGAUGUACCUGGCCACGCCUCCGAGUCCUCACCUGCAGAGUUGAGACCAUUGAGGGCUGGUGUGAGGGUCUGUGAGACCAGAGCUGCUUGGCAAAGAGGAGCCCUCAGCCCCAAAGGAUGCCAUCCCUGGGAGGCAGUUAAUCCCUUCUGUGUCUUAAAAGUAGAGAGGGUGCCAUUCCACCUUCAGGUGACCUGUGCGGGCCACAGAGUUCCCAUUCUGCAGAUGGGAAGAGUGAGGCUCCAACAGGCUCUAAGAGGCUCAGGAACUUGCCCAAGGCCCCGGCAUCUGAGUGUAGGAGUGGCUCGUGGCUCCAAAGUCCUCCCUUUCUACACCAGUGUCUUGCAAGCUGCCUUUUUUUCAGGCUGUCAGUUAUGAGGGAACAGCCCUCCCCUGGUUUAUCCCCCUGGGAACUUGGUGUGGGGCUCUGUGCGUCAGCUACAGACGUCCUGGCUGAAGCCAAAACCGGCCCUUCCAGCUGGGGAGGGGAGCAAAUGUGAACUAUUUUCAAUGCCCUAAUUAAUAAUAGUAAUAUUCACUGACAAUUAUCGAACACUCCGCACCAGGGACUUUCCAUCAGUUAUCUGAUUUUCAAAUGAUCACCAGCCUUCUGAGGGAGGCACCACUAUGCCCACCCACAGGUAAGGAGCCCAAGGCACUUAGAGAGUGGUGGCGGAGGCAGGAUUUGAACCCAGGUCCCGCAGACAGCAGAGAUUGCUCAGGCACUGCUAAGAGUCGACGUGGAACAAGGGGCUUUUCCUAGCUCUGUCCUCUUCUGGCCUUUUUUAAGAGGCGGCUCCAGCAGCUGGAUUCCACUUUUAGAUGCAGGGUGUCCUGGGGUUACAGCUCUGGGAAAAUCCCAACAGUAAGCGUCCCCGGCUGCCUCCUGCAGAUGCGUGGGGCAAGGACAUCCAUGCAGAGGCUGAGCUCGUCCAGGAAGGGGUGGGAGGUGCAGAUGUCAGGGCCCUCGACCCCCAGGAGCCAUGACGUGAAAAGAGAUGCCCACAGUCCUGACCCAGGCCCCCUAGCCAGCUAGAAGCUUCUGAGCCUCUUCCAGUCCUCGGCCUAUCAUCCCUAUCAACCCCACAAGCUGGGCCCGCGGCCACACCCCUCAACAUCUCACUCCAGCACCCUGCCUGACCUGGCCCCAGCCUCGCCUCCUCCUCAUCUCCCUGCGCUGCCCUCACCCCUAGGAUCCAUUCUCCACACGCGAUUAGAGCCUGCUAGGACCCAAGGCUGAUGGUGCCCCUCCCCUGGAGAAGCACUUUCAGGGGCUCCCCAUUGCUCUUGGACUAAGCCCGUGUCUUGCUGCAGCCUCCACGGCCUUGCAUGGUGUCUCUCGGGAAUCUCUGACCUUCACCCAUGCCGGCCUCCCCUCUGUGUCCAGAACCCCCGCAGCCAAUUUCCACCUCAGGACCUUUGCACUCUCUGUACCCUUUGCUUCAGCUUCUCUGCCACCAGAUCAUGCAGCGUGUCACUCUAGUCCACACUGCGGCCAGAGGGAGCUUCCUGGGCCCUGACUCUCAGCAGGUCCUCUGCUGCCUAAGUCCUCUCUCGGGCUGGACACCCCCAUCCCCAAAUCCAAAGUCCUGGAUGGGGCUGAGGCUGUCUGGGUCCCCUCCAGCCUCCUCUCCUGAGCUUCGUUUAGUGCCCCCAAAGGCCUGCCUCUGUGCCAGGGGUUCUCAGCCUCGGGCUGGGCCAUCCUCCAUAGCGGGCCUGUCCCCUGUCCUGUGCGCUGCAGGAUACUAAGCAGCCUCCGGGGCCUCAGUGCACUGGAGGCCAGUAGCACCCUCCCGAGUUGUGAAAGCGGACAUCUCCAGGCAGCACCAAAUAUUCCCAGGAGGAACAAAAUUGCCUCAGUCAGGACCCCCUUGGGCCAGCUUUUUUCCCUGCUGCUCUGUCUUUUGGGAACACCCCCCGCCAGCCCUCUGCACCCACCCUGCCCCCCCCGUAUUUCACAACCCUUAGAUGCCACCCACGAGGAACCUUCCCAGCCCAGGCAGACCAGGAGGCUUCUGGGUGCUCCCACAAUGGCUUGUGCUCGUCAUCGGAGACCUGAUGAUGCCAUCUUGUAAUUGUCAGGGGGCACGUUUGCCCCCUCCUACCCCACCGCUGGGAUGUCAGCUCUACAAGCGUGGACUCUGUGUCCACUCUGUCCCCCGCCGCGUGAUGCACACAAGGACUGGCACGAAGAGGACGCUCUGUUCACAUUUCACCAUCUCUCCACCCGUCUCUGCCUCUGUCCUCAUUCAUCAGAAACGCACACGUGCGGGCGCCACGAAUGCCGAAAAGAAUCAGACGUGGUUCCUGCCCUCAGCCCACGCACACUCUGGUGGGCAACACAGCACAGCAGGGGACCCUGGGGGCCCUGGCAGCUCCAGAGAGGCAUCCGAUCCAAACUAUGGGGAAGACGGGAGGGUCAAGAUGGGCUUCCUGGGGGAGGUGACUUCUGGAUACCUGGAAGGAUGAGAAGGAGGAUCAGCAAAAACAGUGCCAGGAUAUGAGCUGCCCAACGUGGUGAAUGUCCUAAAUCCCACUGAGUAAUUCCCUUUAAAAUGUUUAAUUGUGGCCGGGCGCAGCGGCUCACGCCUGUAAUCCCAGCACUUUGGGAGGCUGAGG
Molecule: long non-coding RNA, 4005 nt
Organism: Sapajus apella (tufted capuchin)
Lineage: Eukaryota; Metazoa; Chordata; Mammalia; Primates; Cebidae
Exons: 3
Source: RefSeq, a predicted model, not a curated record